GUGAUGAAAAAAAAGAAAGAGGACUUCCUGCUGGGGAUGUUCUAGAGCCAGUACAGAAGCCUCAUGAAGGUCCUGGAGAAAUGGGGAAACCAGUCGUCAUUCCUAAAGAGGACCAAGAAAAGAUGAAAGAGAUGUUUAAAAUCAAUCAGUUCAAUUUAAUGGCAAGUGAGAUGAUUGCACUCAACAGAUCUUUACCAGAUGUUCGGUUAGAAGGGUAAGUACCGGAGUUCCCGUCGUGGCGCAGUGGUUAACGAAUCCGACUAGGAACCAUGAGGUUGCGGGUUCAGUCCCUGCCCUUGCUCAGUGGGUUAACGAUCCGGCGUUGCCGUGAGCUGUGGUGUAGGUUGCAGACGCGGCUCGGAUCCCNNNNNNNNNNNNNNNNNNNNNNNNNNNNNNNNNNNNNNNNNNNNNNNNNNNNNNNNNNNNNNNNNNNNNNNNNNNNNNNNNNNNAAAAAAAAAAAAAAAAAAAAAAAAAAAAGAAGGGUAAGUACCUAGUGUGGUCCUGCUACAAUUUAAUUUGAAUGAAAAGUAUGUUCUGAAUUCCCAAUAAAUUGCACUUUGGUGCUGACUGUUCUAAAGUGAUGUUACAUCACUAAGUUACUACUUACCCUACUUAAGAAAUAAUUAAAUACUGAUGAAACAGUACCUCAAAUUCUAGUGAUCAUUGGGACUAUGCAUUUUAGGUUUUGGAACAUAAUUAUUUAUCUUGAUAGAUUAGUAGGGAUUUUAAACUUCAUUAUUACUGGAACACUUGCAUAAUUAAUGUUUUAAAAAAGUGGUUUUAAGUUGUGUGUAGUUUAAAACAGUGAGGUAUACAGUCAUAAGCAUAUAGAUUACUGAAUUUUUAAUGUAUGUACGUGUCUAACCACCAUCCAGAUCAAGUUAUAGAACAUUUCCAUCACCCCUGAAAGUUCUGUGAUGUUCCUUUCCAGUCAGUACUCCCACCCUCAGGGGAAGCCAUUGUUUUGAUCUCUAAACAUUGAAUAGCUUUGUCUUUCUUUGAACUUUUUAUAAAUCGUUCCAUACUGUAUUUUUCUUUUGUGUCUUUGAGAUUGAUAUUGUUGCAUAUAUCAGAGAUUUAUUCUUUUCCAUUGCAGUGUGACUUGUUGUAUGAAUAUAUCAUAGUUUAUUUACACAUUGAUAUUUGGGUUGUUUCCCCUUUUUGACUAUUAAAAUAAACCUAUUGUGACAUUCCUGUACAUGGUUUUAGGGGAAUUUAGCUCUCAUUUCUAUUUAUUAUAUGUUGAGAAAAGGAGUAGGGUAUACACUUAAAUAGCGUUAGCACGUGCUGCCAGACAUUUUUCAAGAUGGUCGUACCAACGUAUACUCCUGUCAGCAGGAGAAGAGGCCCAGUUGCUCCAUAUGGAAAAGGUAAUAUGAGGUAUAUGAACUAGAGGACAAUAAGCCCAGUAAAAAGCAAGGGAACUGAUGGGGUGUGUGGGAUUGAAUUAGUAAUAUGUAUAUAGAAAAUCAUCACCAAAAAAAAAAAAACUAAUGCAGAUCCUUAACCCACUGCACCACAAGGGAACUCUUCCAUCUCUAUGCUUUUAGCCUUUUUUUUUUUUUUUUUUUUAGUUUUGAAAAAAUUUUUAUAAUGGAAAACUUCAAGUAUGUACAAAAAUAGAGAUAAUGGAAUGAACGCCAACAUAUUCGUCACCUUGCUCCAACAAUUCCUAAAUGUUCAGUUUUGUAGCCUCAUUUAUAUCCUCUAAGAUGUCCGGCAACAGUCUCCAUCUCCUAUUUACACUCUUCUGUAUGAUCCUUCCUGUGUUGUACUAGGGCUGGUCUGUAUGACUAUCAGAACACAGUACAAGUGAUGUGGUGUUGCUUUUAGGAGUAGGCUAUAAAGUACACUGUGGUUUCCAAUUUGGUCUUUUAUUCUCACUUGAAUCAUUGACUCUGGGGUAAACCAGCUGACAUGACAGGAGUGGCCGUAUAGAGAAACCCAUGCAAUUUGUAGAGUGUGAGUGUGAUUAGAAGCAGAUUCGCUAAAACAUGGCACAAAUGAACUUAUCUACAAAACAGAAACAGACUCACAGACGUAGAGAACAGAUUUACAGUUGCCAAGGCGGAGGGAAGGUAGUGGAGGGAUGGACUGGGAGUUUGGCAUUAGCAGAUGCAAACGAUUAUAUAUAGAAUGGAUAAACAACAAGGUCCUACUGUAUAAUACAGGGGACCAUAUUCGAUAUCCUGUGGUAAACCGUAAUGGAAAAGAAUAUAUAUAUGUGUGUGUAAGUAUAGCUGAAUCACUUUGCUGUACAGCAGAAAUUAACAGAAUAUUGUAAAUCAGCUCUACUUCAAUAAAUUAAAAAAAUAAGCAGAUUUCCCCAACCCCAAAGACAUACCAUUUGUAAAUAUUACAAUAUCUGUCCCUGAAAGAUAGGACUCAGAGAACAAAAAAA
RNAcentral lists this long non-coding RNA (2402 nucleotides) under Sus scrofa (pig). Its description in RNAcentral is "lncRNA (ENSSSCG00060074155.1)". Lineage: Eukaryota; Metazoa; Chordata; Mammalia; Artiodactyla; Suidae. The record is from RNAcentral.